RNAcentral lists this ribosomal RNA (641 nucleotides) under uncultured bacterium. Its description in RNAcentral is "bacterial SSU rRNA". It matches the Rfam family "Archaeal small subunit ribosomal RNA", at positions 663 to 1306 of the family's 1478-position model. The record is from RNAcentral.
GUGGCGAAAGCGUUUAACUAGAACGAAUCUGACGGUAAGGAACGAAGGCUAGGGUAGCAAACCGGAUUAGAUACCCGGGUAGUCCUAGCUGUAAACAUUGCCCAUUUGAUGUUGCUUUUCCGUUGAGGGAAGGCAGUGUCGGAGCGAAGGUGUUAAAUGGGCCGCUUGGGAAGUAUGGUCGCAAGACUGAAACUUAAAGGAAUUGGCGGGGGAGCACCGCAACGGGAGGAAUGUGCGGUUUAAUUGGAUUCAACGCCGGAAAACUCACCGGGAACGACCUGUGCAUGAGAGUCAACCUGACGAGCUUACUCGAUAGCAGGAGAGGUGGUGCAUGGCCGUCGUCAGCUCGUACCGUAGGGCGUUCACUUAAGUGUGAUAACGAGCGAGACCCACAUCUUUAAUUGCAAAUGUAUAUGAGAAUGUGCAUGCACUUUAGAGAAACCGCCAGCGCUAAGCUGGAGGAAGGAGUGGUCGACGGCAGGUCAGUACGCCCCGAAUUUCCCGGGCUACACGCGCAUUACAAAGAACGGGACAAUACGUUGCAACCUCGAAAGAGGAAGCUAAUCGCGAAACCCGUCCAUAGUUAGGAUUGAGGGCUGUAACUGGCCCUCAUGAUCUGGAUUCCGUAGUAAUCGCGGGUC